GUGCCAGCAGCCGCGGUAAGACGAACCGUGCGAACGUUGUUCGGAAUCACUGGGCUUAAAGGGCGCGUAGGCGGCUGACCCAGUCGGGGGUGAAAUCUUUCGGCUUAACCGGAAAAGUGCCUUCGAUACUGGUCAGCUCGAGCGAGGUAGGGGCAGGGGGAACUUCCGGUGGAGCGGUGAAAUGCGUUGAUAUCGGAAGGAACGCCGGUGGCGAAAGCGCCCUGCUGGACCUCAUCUGACGCUGAGGCGCGAAAGCCAGGGGAGCAAACGGGAUUAGAUACCCCAGUAGUCC
Molecule: ribosomal RNA, 292 nt
Filed under: uncultured bacterium
Lineage: Bacteria
Description: partial 16S ribosomal RNA
Rfam family: Bacterial small subunit ribosomal RNA
Source: RNAcentral